Myzus persicae (green peach aphid) is the source of this 1050-nucleotide RNA transcript. RefSeq lists it as uncharacterized. The transcript is spliced from 3 exons. The record is from RefSeq and is a predicted model, not a curated record. NCBI's taxonomy places the organism in Eukaryota, Metazoa, Arthropoda, Insecta, Hemiptera, Aphididae.
CAAUUGAGGUACUUAUGUUUAUUAUUUUUAUUCUACAUAUAGCUAAUAAUUGUAAAAAAUAUAAAAUGUAGUUGUUUUAAAUUAAUCUUAACAUUUUAGGUUAUGGGGCCAUCCUCAGAACUUCAAAUAAACAUAACAAAUACAAUUGGAGGCAUUUAUGAUGAGCUUCAGCUAGUUAAUGAAGCAUUCUGUAGUUCUUAAAUGAGAAAUACUGAGAUUUGAAGAUUUUUUCUUAUACUGUACAGCAAUUUAUAAGUAUUCCACUUUGGUCAAGCUUUAUGGCGGAAAAUACCAUCAAACACUAACCUUCGAAAAUCAUAUCCAAAUCCAAUAUCGAAUCCAUAUGUAUUUACUAUUUAUGGUUAUUGAUGUUAUAAGAAAUAUUCAUAUCGAUACAGUAACACGUAUGAACCAUAAGAGAAUGCAAAAUAUUAUCAGACCAAUUGAAAAACAGAAACAAAGGCAUUUGUUUCAAUUUUGGGUAGAAAUUUUACUUGAUGGAGAUCGUAUAAAUUUUUAUUAAAUAACGUCGGCAGUCGGUUUCAGCCAAUCAAACUUUGAAAGUUUUAAAUUUUUUUGAAUUUAUAUUUUUAAUUUUUGAAUAUACACACAUUUUUUGAUGAAAUAUGAGAAAAAAUAAUUAAUUAUACAUAUACAAUAUACAUAUGCGUUUUUUGUUAAUCGACCUUUUUGGGGUCAAAAUCAUAACUGUGCGGUUUUUGAAUUCGACAACUUUUUAAAUUGUGCGGUUUUGUCCUAUAUUUGAUCAAAAGUGUCCGGUUUUUGGAGUCAACGCAUACGAUUGCGUACAUUAAAGCAUUAAAUUUAAUAUUUACUCCAAGAGUCAAACGAUUGCGUAUGAUUUGCUGUGCAACGUUGUACAUUUUUUAUUUUAUUUGUGAUCAGUAAAAUUUUAAUUUUGAAAAAAUGACUUAAGUUAUGGUACCACUAUACUCAAUUUUUUGACAAAUAUGUUAUAAUAUAGUGUACAAAAUAAAAUAAUUAAAAAUAAUAGAAGGUUUCAAUAAUAUAAUAAAAAAUGUUAUACCU